Long non-coding RNA from Misgurnus anguillicaudatus (oriental weatherfish), 671 nucleotides. RefSeq lists it as uncharacterized. The record is from RefSeq and is a predicted model, not a curated record. NCBI's taxonomy places the organism in Eukaryota, Metazoa, Chordata, Actinopteri, Cypriniformes, Cobitidae.
CAGCAUACAGUGAUGCGCAUUAAAUGUCCGCGUGUACCACGUGACCUCAUUCAAUGUUUGUAAACACGCGUCAAGCACAUGUGAUCCUGAUGUGUUUAGGUACGUGUGGCGCCUCGCAGCCAAUCAUUUGCUGGGGGAGUGUCUGAGGCGGUGCCUGACUAAAACCGAUAGGGAUCUUGUAAUGAUGCGAGGAAGAAUGGAAAUAGUGAGUUGUGUUUGGAUUGCAACGAGGAAAGUGCAGGCAUUCUUGGCAUGUGGCUAACCUACGAGUUCUGACGAAGUCAACAGCUUUGAUUUAUACAUUGCUUCGAAAUGAUACAGGAUGAUCUGCAUUCCAGUGCCGCCCCUGGAAGCUGAAUUCAUAUGGUGCCAUAGAGUAUCCCAUGUCAUCUAGCACCAUUUGAAAUCAGUGUUCUUGGGGUGGUCUAUGACGUCACACAAGAAAUCUGAACUUUGCCUUUUUUACAAAUAAAUAAACAAACAUUUGUGAUGCCUCUAUGUCUUUGAUCAUUUGAUUUGCAAUAAUAAGUGAAUUAAACUGUAUUUCUAUGAAGUGCUGCAAAGUCUGAUUUGUCAUUUGCCACCUUCCCAUAAGUUUCUUUACAUUACCAUUACAUGAUAUUACAUUUAUUAACUAUUAUUAAAUGUAUAAUACAUUUUUAUUGAACCUA